RNAcentral lists this ribosomal RNA (935 nucleotides) under Gymnopilus junonius. RNAcentral's name for it is "LSU rRNA". It matches the Rfam family "Eukaryotic large subunit ribosomal RNA", at positions 38 to 960 of the family's 3401-position model. Lineage: Eukaryota; Fungi; Basidiomycota; Agaricomycetes; Agaricales; Galerinaceae. The record is from RNAcentral.
GCAUAUCAUAAGCGGAGGAAAAGAAACUAACAAGGAUUCCCCUAGUAACUGCGAGUGAAGCGGGAAAAGCUCAAAUUUAAAAGCUGGCGGUCUUUGGCCGUCCGCAUUGUAAUCUAGAGAAGUGUUACCCGCGUUGGACCGUGUACAAGUCUCCUGGAAUGGAGCGUCAUAGAGGGUGACAAUCCCGUCUUUGACACGGACUCCCAAGGCUUUGUGGUGCGCUCUCAAAGAGUCGAGUUGUUUGGGAAUGCAGCUCUAAAUGGGUGGUAAAUUCCAUCUAAAGCUAAAUAUUGGCGAGAGACCGAUAGCGAACAAGUACCGUGAGGGAAAGAUGAAAAGAACUUUGGAAAGAGAGUUAAACAGUACGUGAAAUUGCUGAAAGGGAAACGCUUGAAGUCAGUCGCGUCGUCCGGAGAUCAACCUUGCUUUUGCUGGGCGUACUCUCCGGUUGACGGGCCAGCAUCAGUUUUGGCCACUGGAAAAGGGCGGAGGAAAUGUGGCAUCCUCGGAUGUGUUAUAGUCUUCCGUCGUAUACAGUGGCUGGGACUGAGGAACUCAGCACGCCGCAAGGCCGGGAUUUAUCCACGUACGUGCUUAGGAUGCUGGCAUAAUGGCUUUAAUCGACCCGUCUUGAAACACGGACCAAGGAGUCUAACAUGCCUGCGAGUGUUUGGGUGGAAAACCCGAGCGCGUAAUGAAAGUGAAAGUUGAGAUCCCUGUCGUGGGGAGCAUCGACGCCCGGACCAGACCUUUUGUGACGGAUCUGCGGUAGAGCAUGUAUGUUGGGACCCGAAAGAUGGUGAACUAUGCCUGAAUAGGGUGAAGCCAGAGGAAACUCUGGUGGAGGCUCGUAGCGAUUCUGACGUGCAAAUCGAUCGUCAAAUUUGGGUAUAGGGGGCGAAAGACUAAUCGAACCAUCUAGUAGCUGGUCUGCG